GGUUAGACACAUUAUCAUGUGGACCAAAUCUGGCUCAAUACUUGCCCCCCACUUCCUAGUCUGAAGGUCAUUUCAUACUGAAAAGUAGAUCAUCAUUUGGAUUUAGGGUCGCACAUCUUAGUGAGCUCCUCUAUCUUUAUGAAGCUUCAUUGAUACAAUCGAAGUAGUAAAACAUCAUUUCGGAUCUCUACCGAUGUGACGAGAGUUUUGCUUCGAUAGGUAGCACUUAGAGAUGUU
RNAcentral lists this long non-coding RNA (237 nucleotides) under Elaeis guineensis (African oil palm). RNAcentral's name for it is "long non-coding RNA (EGUI_LNC057854)". The record is from RNAcentral. Lineage: Eukaryota; Viridiplantae; Streptophyta; Magnoliopsida; Arecales; Arecaceae.